Molecule: long non-coding RNA, 1532 nt
Organism: Homarus americanus (American lobster)
Lineage: Eukaryota; Metazoa; Arthropoda; Malacostraca; Decapoda; Nephropidae
Exons: 3
Source: RefSeq, a predicted model, not a curated record
CGCAGGUCAUCAGGUAUCCACUAACCACCAACUGGCCGAGUGGUCAACAAGACGCCACCUCGGUCGACUUGCCUACCUACUCGGCCACCCUCGGCUUGGUCUUGCCCGCACGCCGUGACCUGGCCCCCCACGGCUCCUUCAAGCUCAGAUGUCGUGUGAUGGUUGAGGAGUUGGAGUGGGUGACGGAGGUACAGGUGGGGGUAGAGAGGCCCUUACUAGGUGAACCCCACCACCUACCCGCCCUCCUCAACACAGCCGUGGCCCCCACUUCAGGUUGUGUUGUAUCACCCAGGAUGUCUAUCUUCCUGCUGGGGUUGAUGGUCCUCACCACCCUGUGUCUCACCCCUUGACACUCCAGCCAUGUGACACCCCAGUGACCCCAGCUAUGUGACACCCCAGCUAUGUUAUCCACCAGCCAUCGGACUCCACAACCAAGUGAAUUCAACCUAGUGACACCCCAGCCAAGUGACACCCAACCAAUUGACACCCCAGCCAAGUGACACCCAACCAAUUGACACCCCAGCCAAGUGACACCCAGCCAUGUGACACCCAACCAUUGACACCCCAGCCAAGUGACACCCCAGCCAAGUGACACCCAACCAAUUGACACCUCAGCCAAGUGACACCCAACCAAUUGACACCCCAGCCAAGUGACACCACAGCCAUGUGACACCCAACCAAUUGACACCCCAGCCAAGUGACACCCAAUCCAAGUGACACCCCAGCUAAUUGACACCCCGGCCAUGUGACCACAACCAAGUGACACCCUAGCUAAGUGAAACAGCAGGCAAGUGACACCCCAGUCAUCGGACUCCACAGCCAAGUGACCCACCAGGGUGAUACUUUUUAAAGGAGUUGACCCGAGAAAGCGUUCAAACUGUUUGCAUUUUCUAUGAGAUCGUUAGUAGAAGAAAAUGUGAUACGUGGAAGGUAAACUAAACUAUCAAAGGGGUAAUAAACUUGUGGCAUUAAUACUGACGUUCAUCCUUGAUCUAUGUAAUCCGUUUAAUCUUUGGUGGGUCAAGAUUAUUUAUUUGUGAACUUCCUGGUCCCUUCUGCUCGGCUUGUGGUGGGGUGAUAUAGGCGUGGCUGGCUAUGGGAUGUACACAGCAUAUUGCCUUUUCUUAGGCUAUCCUGGGUCGAAUCCUGUUUACCAUUGUUUGAAUACUUGAACUGUCUCUGUGUAGGCCUACAUUGUACACCUGCUCUAUGUACUGUACAUAAUUGUAUACCAGCACUGUCUAUAUACAUUGUGUAUCUUCACUGUUUAUGUACAUUAUUUGUAUACCUGCAAAAUGUACAUUGUAUACCUGCACUCUAUGUAUUCGCUGAAUCAAUGUGACCUUGUAUAAAAAGUUUACUGAAUAAAUGUCUAUCUCUCGAAGCCUUCCAAACUAUGCAUGACUAAGUAAUACAAAGGUACACGGAAGAUACGUGUACAAAGUGACAAGCAAAAUGUCUAUCUUUUACUUACUGGUUUUACUUUUAUCCUCUUCGCCACUGAUCGGCUCGUUAGCCGCCCGGGUGAUCGG